This 185-nucleotide unclassified non-coding RNA is filed under the name soil metagenome. RNAcentral's name for it is "partial internal transcribed spacer 1". The record is from RNAcentral.
CAGAGUUGCAAAACUCCCUAAACCAUCGCUGAAUCGUUACCCGUAACGUUGCCUCGGCGCUGGCGGCCCGGAGGUCUCCCGGGCCCCCGAUCCUCGGGUCUCCCCUCGCGGGAGCUGCCCGCCGGAGUGCCGAACCAAACUCUUGAUAAUUUAUGGCUCUCUGAGUACUUUGUAUGAAUAAGUCA